This 73-nucleotide transfer RNA is filed under the name Pseudomonadota bacterium. RNAcentral describes it as "Proteobacteria bacterium tRNA-Trp". It matches the Rfam family "tRNA". Rfam says of the family: Transfer RNA (tRNA) molecules are approximately 80 nucleotides in length. The record is from RNAcentral. RNAcentral also lists the same sequence under 2 other names. Lineage: Bacteria; Pseudomonadati; Pseudomonadota.
ACGCCAGUAGCUCAAUUGGCAGAGCAGCGGAUUCCAAAUCCGCAGGUUGAGUGUUCAAGUCACUCCUGGCGUG